AUGAUGGAGCUUAUCUCUGGCCCAGCAAUCAUCCAGUGUUUCAGAGCAUUCAAAAAUUAUUUGUCGAACCAAUUGCCCCUUCCUCGCCUUUGACCAAGGCAUUGCUUUGCUCCUGAGCUUUGUCCGAAGCAAAGGAAGAGAAGACCCGACGGCUCUUCUGUUUAGAGCUGAAACCCGUCAUGAACUCCUUUAAAACAGAAGGAUGUGAUGACUCGGGCGUGGACAAAUCAGGAAUGUGCACAGCCAGCCAGCGGACAUAAGUGAUGUGGUCAAGGGCAAAGAACCAUGGCAUGAACAUUGUCAGCGACUCUAUAUAUUUUUUUAAGUCAGCAGAACGGAUUGAGUUAACAAGCUGAAGGACAAACAGCUGCAAUUUCAAAACCAGCAUCCACCAUGCAAACUGUGGCUGAUCUUUCUCCAUCUUGGUACUCCAGUCUUCAAAGCUAGUAGAUGUUGUUCACUGCACAAAUAUUUGAAUGUCAAUGAGAUUGUUAUUUACGCUGUACUUUGAGUUUGUUUAUUGAAUUUCUGCACUUUUUUUAGUCAUAGUGCAGUAUGCUGUUGUAACGCUGCCAAGAAACCCUGUCCUUCGUUUAACUUGGACAAGUCAACAUGGAUGGGGCAAGAACCAAGGGUAAGGAAUCCUUUAAGUCUCUCUGCCCCAUAGACAUACCCAGCACCAUCUCCCCUUGCAGAGCAAAUGAAAUGUUCUUUAGUAUCUGUCUGGCAUAAAGCACAAAGGUCUCAGUUGAUUUCUUUACAUCCUCUCUCAUCCUCUCCUCUUGUUUCAAGUAAUGCAACGUCAACGCGAUUGAAUCUUCGACCCUCUCUCAUCCUCUCCUCUUGUUUCAAGUAAUGCAACGUCAAAGCUAUUGAAUCUUCGAGCCAUUGUGGUUAAUGAAGAAAAAUGUGAUAUGGGUGUGUAUUUUUUAUCGUUGAUCCAUGGAAUAGUAGGUUGAUAAAGUUCAUUUUUGAGUUGUUUUCUUAAUAUGCAUUAAGCGAAAAAAUACGUUUGAUUUGCACGAUUAAAAACCAUACGCAACGUGUAUUACGAUAAAGCUCAGUCACCAUAUCCGUUACUGUAUGUAAAUGAUGUUAUUUUUUCUCUUAUCCAACACAUUCAUGAAACAGAAACACUUAUUUCAAAUAAAAGUAAAACACUCACUCACAAAUAAAGUCUAAGAACGAAAUAUUAUGGUUGUUUUGUCAUCAAUCGUCAGAUCCUGAAAUUUGAUGUACACAAGGAAUUAGUAGGUUGUGGUCGCUAUGGAGCACCAUACUUUUUCGCCUAUAAUUUUGCUAGGCUAGCCCGAGAGUUGACCCCAGACCUGCCACACGGCCGAUGUUAUUGUUGUGAUUAUUUUUAAUUUCUAUACAUGUACUCUAUAGCGCUUAUGAUUGUAUUUAUUUUUAAUGCAUUAGUCCUUUUGGCUAAAUUUUAAAAAAAAUAUUCACUACAGUUGCGCCUUAAUCGUAGUAAAACGGCAGCUCUGUGAACUAUCAACACAGCGAAGGUCUACCGGAAACGUGUGUGUGGUAGGCCUGGGCAGGACUUGGACUUGGACUUGAGACUUGAAAUUCUCGUGUCCAUCAAGUAGUGUUUGAGAUCAAGUAUUUAGAACUGAGCAAGUCCAAGUCUUGCGUGGCCUAGCAAAAUAGAUCUAUCCCUCAAUCAAAAGAUACAAUUAUUUUAACGCACAGUAGAUCUACAAAUAUCUACAAAUAUUGAGUAAAGACUCAGUGAACCAAUGUCUAAAGAAAUGUUAAAAAUUGGCAUGUUUUUUAAAUUAACUUAGUGCAUUUAGUUUGACUGUUUGAAUUUAAAUACACCUACCACCCCUACUACUUGCUCAGACUUGCUCGUCCUAGGCGGAUUGGUUGAGUCCAUUUCUUCGAUAAGGGGUAGGCAGUAGGCAGUACCACCCCUAUUACUUGCUAGGAUUUGCACGCCCUUGGCGUAUUGGUUGAGUCCACUUCCUCAAUAAGGCGUAGGCAGGCCUAGGCCCGGAUAAGGCUUCAAUGCCAUCAUUGCCAUCCAAGGCUGAAGCAAUUCCUGAGUUUAUUAAUACAACAGAGAACAGAACAAAAAACAAACGAACGAAGGAAAAAAAAAA
Long non-coding RNA from Aplysia californica (California sea hare), 2114 nucleotides. RefSeq lists it as uncharacterized. The transcript has 2 exons. NCBI's taxonomy places the organism in Eukaryota, Metazoa, Mollusca, Gastropoda, Aplysiida, Aplysiidae. The record is from RefSeq and is a predicted model, not a curated record.